GUCCCUGUAGUAUAUUAAAUAGCGCGUUGGACUUCUAAUCCAAAGGUCGUAGGUUCGAAUCCUACCUGGGAUG
Non-coding RNA from Trichonephila clavata, 73 nucleotides. Lineage: Eukaryota; Metazoa; Arthropoda; Arachnida; Araneae; Nephilidae. The record is from the annotation of a GenBank genome assembly.